UUAUCGAUAUUAUUUGAUGGUCUCGCUCUUAAUAUACGCAAAACGAUUACUAAUUAAAUUAAAUAAAAAACUUUAUUUUUCAGUGCACGAUGUUAUAACAUCAUCAUAGGGAUUUCUUCUUGAAAAAGUACGAAAUCGAAUGACAAAAUAAAAUCUAAAUAUUACAGCUAAUUAAUAGGUACUUUAUUAGGAAAACCUCACUAACAACUACAAUUACAGUUGCAAUUCACAUUUAAUUUCUAUUCUAAACCACAUAUAAACAAUAGACGAGAUUCAAACAAACUCUUUGUAUCAAAAAAAAAAGUAAAAAAAGUGACAUUUGAACUUCAAAUUUGUUAAAAUCUUAAUAAUGUGGUAAACAAUCCAUCCAUAUGUAAUGAACAAACAUGAAUUUAUCUUCCUCGUAACUCUGUCAGCUGUAAUAUCGUUCAUAGCAACCGUCAGCAAAAACGCCAGACCUCCAAAAUGAUAGUGAAAAGUCCUUAAAUACACUCUUCAUACCCUAAAUAGACCUAUAUCGAACCAAUGACGCCAAAUUUAAAGUAGCCACCACCAAACACAAUGUACAACGGUAUCAAACCGACCCGCCUAUGGCAUCUCACACCGAGGAAAUACUUCGAUAGAAUGAUCCAAGACAAAAUAGAAGUACGAAAUGGAUUUACGCAGAGAUCGAAAUCGGAGCAAACGAAACUGGUCGCUUUGUUAUUAUCGGGAACAUUAGGUGUGGCGUAUUCGUACGGAAUGUUUAGCCCCGAGAAGACGCUGACCACGAUAGUGAGACCUCCGGGUGCCUGUGACCCGCCGAAAAUGCAAUGUCCUAAUACGCCAGCUCCGGCUCCUGAUAAGGAUUGUCCACUGAGACCAUGCGAUAAAUGAAGUGUAAUUAGAGAAUUGUUCAAAAUUAAAGGCAUUAACAAAAUUAGUAAGCAAAACUAA
Molecule: long non-coding RNA, 936 nt
Organism: Bombyx mori (domestic silkworm)
Lineage: Eukaryota; Metazoa; Arthropoda; Insecta; Lepidoptera; Bombycidae
Exons: 2
Source: RefSeq, a predicted model, not a curated record